AUUACGCCGGCCUUCAGCUCAUAUUGCGUCAUUCACCGGCUGGAUUUCACUUCUUGUUAGUCCCGAAAACUCGGGAUUGGUAAGGGCACCCAUUAAUUCCUGGCGCAAAACUACCUGUACUAUUGAGCCAACCUGCUUGAAUUUUGGAAUCGCCGCUGUAAUUGCCCUUAGCUGGCCGUAACAUGCCACAACAGUCAGCAUACAUACGAAUACAUUCUGAAGUAGGAUGGGGUGACGGAUUAGGGUGCCCCCCUAGCAGGGGAGAGCAGGGACUGCCCGGGAAAGGGGCCGCUGGCGAAGUUAACCACCCUGUAACAACAUACAUACAUACGGCAUGCCUGCUGGUCACGCCCGUUACACCCAGGUGCUGGGCGUUGGCAACACCCACUAUUAGCCAGCCCAUGUCUUGCACCCAAUUUGGUACCUCUUCCCGCAAGUGCGCCUGCUAUACAUGCCUCUCUGCUUGUCAUAUCGCACUUGCUCAUAAUCAUCUUCAGCACAAAUGUGGGAUAUCGAAGCAAAGGUGCGCAUCCCUAACCAUGGGCAUCCAUCUCCCUACUAUCGUGUUACCAUCUAUCCAGUAAGAUGUCAAUGCACUCAAGUUUAAUGUUCAUAUGGAACGCUUGAGCCUGAGCAACUUAAAUUUGCGAAAUGAAAGCCAUGUCCACCGGAACAGCUGCGCGAAGAACUCUGUUCCAACUGUUCCAAAGGGUUCUCCUAACAGCUGUCCACAAGGCUUCGUCUGCAGCAUUGUGCGAGAAAAAGAACCGCGGGAACGCUCUCUAGAGUUUGUAGGUAAACAGAAUAGCAACAGCUGCUGAGAGCCAACCUGACGUGCGACGUAUUCCUGAGAUUGUGACCUCGUUUUCUCAAGACGCGAGGUCUGAGCAAGCCACAUUCAGGUGGUGUCGCGACAGCCCGAGCUG
Molecule: long non-coding RNA, 926 nt
Filed under: Volvox carteri
Lineage: Eukaryota; Viridiplantae; Chlorophyta; Chlorophyceae; Chlamydomonadales; Volvocaceae
Description: long non-coding RNA (VCAR_LNC002766)
Source: RNAcentral